This is a non-coding RNA of Musa acuminata subsp. malaccensis (wild Malaysian banana), 935 nucleotides long. NCBI's taxonomy places the organism in Eukaryota, Viridiplantae, Streptophyta, Magnoliopsida, Zingiberales, Musaceae. The record is from RefSeq and is a predicted model, not a curated record.
AAAAAACAUUGUAUUUUGCAGGCAAUUUCCUUCUCGAACUUGUAUGCACCUGAGCAUUUGAUCAUCAACGUCAAGGUCGCGGAAAGGUGGGAGGGUCUCAUUGAGAAUGCUGGCUCAGUCUUUUUAGGACAAUGGACGCCGGAGAGCGUUGGUGAUUAUGCUAGCGGCACCAACCAUGUCCUUCACUAAACUCAUUUCUCAAAUACAUAACUGUGCAGUCCUUAACCGAGGAAGGUCUCAAAAACAUUGGACCGCAUGUGGCAAAGAUGGCAGAAGUUGAAGGGCUGGAGGCUCACAAGAGAGCUGUUACCCUUCGGCUGCAGGAAAUCGAAGCUGCCCUACCUGCUUAGCUGACAUAAUGCAGGUCCAAAAUGCUCUGGGAACUUAUAAUAUCAUAGGCUCCUCCAUUUGAGUUUUUUGAGUUGGUACGUUGAAGCACCAACUUAUCUCAGUCAAUGUUUGGGUUUCUGAACUGAGCAGGUUGUUUCUUGAAGACCUUUGCCAUUUUGCAUCAUUCAUAAUCUGCUAAAAGGUCAAGCUGUUGGGGGUCGUCUUUCUUCAGUGCCCACAAGCAGCUCAAAGUGGGGUGUGCAUAAAACAGUCAGCUCAUUUUUACGUGCAAAAACUACAUCCUCAGAUACAUUCAUCAUCAGGUUUAUGCUUGCAGAACCUAAUUAAGUUGUGUUCUCACUGUUGUGCAACAUUUUGAAGUUCACAAUCGUUUUUCCCAACGAAUAAAUGGAAAGACUAGCCAAUAACCAAAUGGAUAGGGUAUUGCUGUUCGUAUUCAUAUCAUCUUAUGUGGCAGUAGACAUGCUGUUGAACGUGUCACCACUGGUAUUUGCUACGUAAGCCAUCCUUUCAUUUUACUGUUCUAAUAUGCAAGAAACUUUUUUCUGGUUGAUAUGCAACAUUGUUGAUUGUUUUGGUCUAAA